This 459-nucleotide ribosomal RNA is filed under the name uncultured bacterium. RNAcentral describes it as "partial 16S ribosomal RNA". It matches the Rfam family "Bacterial small subunit ribosomal RNA", at positions 338 to 795 of the family's 1533-position model. The record is from RNAcentral.
CCUACGGGUGGCAGCAGUGAGGAAUAUUGGUCAAUGGCCGGAAGGCUGAACCAGCCAAGCCGCGUGAAGGACGAAGGUGCCAAGCAUUGUAAACUUCUUUUGUCAAGGGACAAAAUCAGGCUCGAGAGCCUGACCGAGUGUACUUGAAGAAAAAGCAUCGGCUAACUCCGUGCCAGCAGCCGCGGUAAUACGGAGGAUGCGAGCGUUAUCCGGAUUUAUUGGGUUUAAAGGGUGCGUAGGCGGAUUGUUAAGUCAGCGGUAAAAGCCCGGGGCGCAACCCCGCCGAGCCGUUGAAACUGGGGGUCUUGAGAAGUCGAGAGGUAUGUGGAAUGCGCAGUGUAGCGGUGAAAUGCUUAGAUAUUGCGAAGAACUCCGAUUGCGAAGGCAGCAUACCGGCGGCGAUCUGACGCUGAGGCACGAAAGCGUGGGUAUCGAACAGGAUUAGAUACCCUUGUAGUC